This 530-nucleotide small RNA is filed under the name Pan troglodytes (chimpanzee). Its description in RNAcentral is "processed transcript". The record is from RNAcentral. Lineage: Eukaryota; Metazoa; Chordata; Mammalia; Primates; Hominidae.
AGCAGUGAGGGGCCACCCGGGGCACAGGAAAGGGCUGCUGGGGGAGGGCCGGGUGCACUCGGGGUGUCUGGGCCGCGGGUCUGAGGGAUGAGGAGGGGCCAUGGCCAGCGACGGGGCCAGGAAGCAAUUCUGGAAGCGCAGCAACAGCAAGCUCCCGGGCAGGCCCUUGGCUGCCACUUUGAUGUCCCACUGAUUCCACUGCUCCUGGCCUUCAGAUCAGCAUCCAGCACGUGUAUGGUGCCCAGCACCCCCCCUUUGAUCCACUGUUACAUGGCACGCAUUCCUCAGGGAGGAGACUGGUUUCUCAUUCAGCCACACUGAUCAAGCAGUCGCUUUGUGUGAGAUACUGUGCACCCCGUGCUGCGCAUCCCGGUGAAGACGGCAGAUGUGGGAGCCACAGCCUGAUGUGGGGAGUUUGCUCAGGUCCACGGCCAAGAUGCCGGCCACACCAGUGAAGGCCAAGAGGGUCAGCACCUUCCAGGAGUUUGAGAGCAAUACCAGCGAUGCCUGGGACGCUGGGGAGGAUGGCG